GUUGUGGUUCAGUGGUAGAGCACUUGCCUAGCAUGCAUGAAGCACUGGGUUUGAUCCCCGGCAUCACA
Molecule: transfer RNA, 68 nt
Filed under: Marmota monax (woodchuck)
Lineage: Eukaryota; Metazoa; Chordata; Mammalia; Rodentia; Sciuridae
Description: tRNA.Ala
Rfam family: tRNA (bases 3-63)
About the family: Transfer RNA (tRNA) molecules are approximately 80 nucleotides in length. Their secondary structure includes four short double-helical elements and three loops (D, anti-codon, and T loops). Further hydrogen bonds mediate the characteristic L-shaped molecular structure. tRNAs have two regions of fundamental functional importance: the anti-codon, which is responsible for specific mRNA codon recognition, and the 3' end, to which the tRNAs corresponding amino acid is attached (by aminoacyl-tRNA synthetases). tRNAs cope with the degeneracy of the genetic code in two manners: having more than one tRNA (with a specific anti-codon) for a particular amino acid; and 'wobble' base-pairing, i.e. permitting non-standard base-pairing at the 3rd anti-codon position.
Source: RNAcentral